RNAcentral lists this non-coding RNA (45 nucleotides) under Schistosoma haematobium. Lineage: Eukaryota; Metazoa; Platyhelminthes; Trematoda; Strigeidida; Schistosomatidae. The record is from RNAcentral.
AUCCAGCUGACGAGUUCCAAAUAGAACGAAACGCAUGUCCUGAAU